Molecule: ribosomal RNA, 321 nt
Filed under: Anaplasma phagocytophilum
Lineage: Bacteria; Pseudomonadati; Pseudomonadota; Alphaproteobacteria; Rickettsiales; Anaplasmataceae
Description: bacterial SSU rRNA
Rfam family: Bacterial small subunit ribosomal RNA
Source: RNAcentral
CUACCUAGUAGUAUGGGAUAGCCACUGGAAAUGGUGGGUAAUACCGUAUAAUCCCCGCGGGGGAAAGAUUUAUCGCUAUUAGAUGAGCCUAUGUCGGAUUAGCUAGUUGGUGGGGUAAUGGCCUACCAAGGCAGUGAUCUGUAGCUGGUCUGAGAGGAUGAUCAGCCACACUGGAACUGAGACACGGUCCAGACUCCUACGGGAGGCAGCAGUGGGGAAUAUUGGACAAUGGGCGCAAGCCUGAUCCAGCUAUGCCGCGUGAGUGAGGAAGGCCUUAGGGUUGUAAAACUCUUUCAGUAGGGAAGAUAAUGACGGUACCUA